AUAUUGACUGUGAUGAGGAAUAGUAAAUGGACACACUUUAUAGAGAGCUGGCGGCAGGUGGAAGCCGGUAAGUGUCAAGUUGAACUCGCCUCGGAGUUUGCUUUAGUGAAGUAAUAGUAGCUAAUGGCCGUGUAUUCGCGUUAAGAAAUGAAGCUGAGUGCUGCGUCACUAAUUUGGGUGGUACCGCGGGAGUAAAAAAUAUCUCUCGUCCCUUCU
RNAcentral lists this non-coding RNA (216 nucleotides) under Solibacillus silvestris. RNAcentral's name for it is "T-box sequence". It matches the Rfam family "T-box leader". Rfam says of the family: Uncharged tRNA acts as the effector for transcription antitermination of genes in the T-box leader family. T-boxes are found upstream of many aminoacyl-tRNA synthetase genes and some amino acid biosynthetic genes usually in Gram-positive bacteria. The anticodon of a specific tRNA base pairs to a specifier sequence within the T-box motif, and the NCCA acceptor tail of the tRNA base pairs to a conserved bulge in the T-box antiterminator hairpin. Lineage: Bacteria; Bacillati; Bacillota; Bacilli; Caryophanales; Caryophanaceae. The record is from RNAcentral.